UUUUGUUGUCGAUUGAUUUGACUCUGUCUCCUCCCACUCCCAGGAAGGAUCAGAUACAGAUUCUCUCGUCCUGGUGGUUUGGGCAUAGAUCGGAUUUGCCUUCUACGACGGCUAGUGAAAUCAUAAAGAGUGUGCUCCCCUUGGGCAUGAAGCCAUUGGAUCAGGGCAUCCAAUCAAAGGCGAAAGGUAUUCAUUCGGAGUUCUUCCCCGGCAAAGCAAAGUCCCGUCGAGUUAGCUGUUGGAGUAAAGGCAUGCCUUAAGGUAGCGAGUGACUUUCAGGUGAGAUGGUUAAAUAGUCGAUUAGAUAAAGGCUGUUGCUACUUCCCCCGAAGGGAUAAAACUAAAGCAAGCUACCUUCACGCUAGG
RNAcentral lists this long non-coding RNA (366 nucleotides) under Arachis ipaensis. Its description in RNAcentral is "long non-coding RNA (AIPA_LNC002624)". The record is from RNAcentral. Lineage: Eukaryota; Viridiplantae; Streptophyta; Magnoliopsida; Fabales; Fabaceae.